GUGGGGAAUAUUGGACAAUGGGCGAAAGCCUGAUCCAGCCAUGCCGCGUGUGUGAAGAAGGUCUUCGGAUUGUAAAGCACUUUAAGUUGGGAGGAAGGGCAGUAAGUUAAUACCUAGCUGUUUUGACGUUACCGACAGAAUAAGCACCGGCUAACUUCGUGCCAGCAGCCGCGGUAAUACGAAGGGUGCAAGCGUUAAUCGGACUUACUGGGCGUAAAGCGCGCGUAGGUGGUUUUGUAAGUUGGAGGUGAAAUCCCCGGGCUCAACCUGGGAACUGCCUCCAAAACUGCAUGACUAGAGUACGGUAGAGGGUAGUGGAAGUUCCUGUGUAGCGGUGAAAUGCGUAGAUAUAGGAAGGAACACCAGUGGCGAAGGCGACUACCUGGACUGAUACUGACACUGAGGUGCGAAAGCGUGGGGAGCAAACAGGAUUAGAAACCCGUGUAGUCC
Molecule: ribosomal RNA, 450 nt
Filed under: uncultured bacterium
Lineage: Bacteria
Description: partial 16S ribosomal RNA
Rfam family: Bacterial small subunit ribosomal RNA
Source: RNAcentral